AAACGACCUGUAAAUAGCUAUAAUGACUCAUUUAAUUCGGUGAGAGUGACUUUUGUGAUAGCACUAACUUAUGUGAUUAUGUAUUGUACAGUUGACAAGAGUCACACUAGCGGAGCCCCCGCCACGCAGGCCAGGAAUGCGAAGGAUGAUAUGGUUGACGAUGAGGAAUGGAAAAAUUUGGGAGUUGGAUUACCUUCUGGAGUCACGAUGCGGGAGAAGAAAAGUGGCGCACUUUCGAGAAUGCAGAAACUCAAGAAAAGACUGUCACAUUCCUUCGGACGACUAA
Photinus pyralis (common eastern firefly) is the source of this 286-nucleotide long non-coding RNA. RefSeq lists it as uncharacterized. NCBI's taxonomy places the organism in Eukaryota, Metazoa, Arthropoda, Insecta, Coleoptera, Lampyridae. The transcript is spliced from 3 exons. The record is from RefSeq and is a predicted model, not a curated record.